This 465-nucleotide ribosomal RNA is filed under the name uncultured bacterium. RNAcentral's name for it is "partial 16S ribosomal RNA". It matches the Rfam family "Bacterial small subunit ribosomal RNA", at positions 338 to 795 of the family's 1533-position model. The record is from RNAcentral.
CCUACGGGAGGCAGCAGUAGGGAAUCUUCCACAAUGGACGAAAGUCUGAUGGAGCAACGCCGCGUGGGUGAAGAAGGUCCUCGGAUCGUAAAACCCUGUUGUUAGAGGAGUAAGUGCGUGAGAGUAACUGUUCACGUUUCGACGGUAUCUAACCAGAAAGCCACGGCGAACUCCGUGCCAGCCGCCGCGGGAAUACGUAGGUGGCAUGCGUUAUCCGGAUUUAUUGGGGGUAAAGGGAACGGAGGCGGUCUUUUAAGUCUGAUGUGAAAGCCUUCGGCUUAACCGGAGUAGUGCAUUGGAAACUGGGAGACUUGAGUGCAGAAGAGGAGAGUGGAACUCGAUGUGUAGCGGUGAAAUGCGUAGAUAUCUGGAAGAACUCCAGUGGCGAAAGCAGCUCUCUGGUCUGCAACUGACGCUGAGGUUCGAAAGCGUGGGUAGCAAACAGGAUUAGAUACCCCGGUAGUC